GGCCUUUUGACUAAGAUCAAGUGUAGUAU
RNAcentral lists this small nuclear RNA (29 nucleotides) under Cervus elaphus hippelaphus. Lineage: Eukaryota; Metazoa; Chordata; Mammalia; Artiodactyla; Cervidae. The record is from RNAcentral.